RNAcentral lists this long non-coding RNA (1118 nucleotides) under Cricetulus griseus (Chinese hamster). Its description in RNAcentral is "lncRNA (ENSCGRG00015030949.1)". Lineage: Eukaryota; Metazoa; Chordata; Mammalia; Rodentia; Cricetidae. The record is from RNAcentral.
CUUUGGUGUUUGUGGUCAGAAGUUUGAAUUUCGGCUCUGCUGUGUGACCAUAGGAGCAAAUUAGUCUCAUUUUGGAAAAGACAGAACAUGCACAAAGGACCCCCCUGAAAGGUUUCCAGUGCUCUGUUCCCGGAUGCGUUGCAGUCAGUGUAAUUACCUGAUGUGGAUCUUUCAGAGGAGAGCAGCAAUUCUCUAACAGCGUGUGCCCUCAUCAUGACCAGAUCUCCGGGAUGACUCAGAAAAAGAGGCAUGGACGUGGCCCUGUGAAAGGACCAUCUCUUUUCAGCAUGGGGCAGGAGCCAAACUGUACCCUGGAACACCUACAGAUAUCAUUGGUUUGACCUGGACAAGAACUCAGAGGCGGGUGAACUCACUUCACCUGAGUUCUUGGGAACAGACCCCUUCUCUGUGAAUCUGAAACUCAAGGGCACAAGGGAAAAACGCCAGCAUGGAUGUUUUCUCAGGGACCCAUCUUGGUAACUUUCCAGUUAAGCUGGAGAUGGAGGCGCCAGGUGUUAAAAAGAGGAAGCAACCAUGUCUGGCUCAAUUCCUUUAGCUCCUAGAACAACAACAACAACAAAAAAAUUGGAAUGAUUCAGAGAAAGCAAUCUGUUACCUGGAAGAAUCUAAUAGUUUUAAAAAAUGAUCUUUGAUCAAAGUUUCAUAGGGUCUUAUGCAAAUGGUGGCUCAGGUAAUACGAGGACUGAGUUGAAGACCACAGUCUGGACCCAUAUGUAAUGAUAAGGAGUCAAUCAACUUAACUUACUUCAGCUUUGCUACCAGGUUAUUUCUAGGAGACUUUUAAAUGCUGCCUGGUCCUCCAUCACACUCUCUAAUGUAUCCUUCCAGAUCUUUCCAUCCCUUGCCCCCCCCAAUACCUGUUCUCAGAUGCUUCCUCUCCCUAGAUCCCUCAGUUGCCACCUUCACUGCCUCCUUCCUCAGCCCUACACCACCUCUUGCUGUCUUAUCUUCUGGCACCUUCCAGCCAAAUACAAGUCCACAUAAUCAGUCAUGGAUUUCUUCUACUCUUAACCAGAGCUGACAUUGUCUGUGAGCAUUUUCCUGCACCAACUUCAAGUACAAAUGUGUGACCUUUGAUGUUAUUCCUUCUUUUACAC